GGGAAUAUUGGACAAUGGGCGCAAGCCUGAUCCAGCCAUGCCGCGUGUGUGAAGAAGGCCUUCGGGUUGUAAAGCACUUUUGUACGGGAAGAAAAGCACUCGGUUAAUACCCGGGUGUCAUGACGGUACCGUACGAAUAAGCCCCGGCUAACUUCGUGCCAGCAGCCGCGGUAAUACGAAGGGUGCAAGCGUUACUCGGAAUUACUGGGCGUAAAGCGUGCGUAGGUGGUUUGUUAUGUCUGAUGUGAAAGCCCUGGGCUCAACCUGGGAAUUGCAUUGGAUACUGGCAGUCUAGAGUGCGGUAGAGGGUAGCGGAAUUCCCGGUGUAGCAGUGAAAUGCGUAGAUAUCGGGAGGAACAUCCGUGGCGAAGGCGGCUACCUGGACCAGCACUGACACUGAGGCACGAAAGCGUGGGGAGCAAAC
Molecule: ribosomal RNA, 424 nt
Filed under: uncultured bacterium
Lineage: Bacteria
Description: bacterial SSU rRNA
Rfam family: Bacterial small subunit ribosomal RNA
Source: RNAcentral